This 119-nucleotide ribosomal RNA is filed under the name Lepisosteus oculatus (spotted gar). Lineage: Eukaryota; Metazoa; Chordata; Actinopteri; Semionotiformes; Lepisosteidae. The record is from RNAcentral.
GCCAGCAGCCAUAUCACUCUGGAACUCACAACUGCCAACCCACUGAAGCUAAGCAGGUAUGAGUGUGGCCAGUACCUGGAUGGGAGACCUCCUGGGAAACACUAAGGUUACUGCUGGAA